RNAcentral lists this ribosomal RNA (894 nucleotides) under uncultured bacterium. Its description in RNAcentral is "bacterial SSU rRNA". It matches the Rfam family "Bacterial small subunit ribosomal RNA", at positions 21 to 896 of the family's 1533-position model. The record is from RNAcentral.
GGCUCAGAGCGAACGUUAGCGGCGCGCCUAACACAUGCAAGUCGCACGCGAAAGGGGCAACCCAAGUAAAGUGGCGCACGGGUGCGUAACACGUAGAUAACCUGCCCUUUGGAGGGGGAUAACGUUCCGAAAGGAGCGCUAAUACCGCAUACAGCAUUCUGGGGUUCGCUCCGGGAUGGCAAAGGUAGGGACCCGCAAGGGCCUACCGCCAGAGGAGGGGUCUGCGGCCCAUCAGCUAGUUGGUGAGGUAAUGGCUCACCAAGGCAAAGACGGGUAGCUGGUCUGAGAGGAUGAUCAGCCACACUGGUACUGGAACACGGACCAGACUCCUACGGGAGGCAGCAGUGGGGAAUCUUGGUCAAUGGGCGAAAGCCUGAACCAGCGACGCCGCGUGAGUGAUGAAGGCCUUCGGGUUGUAAAGCUCUGUGGGGCGAGACGAAAACGCACGUUCUAACAGGACGUGUCUUGACGGUAUCGCCUUAGCAAGCACCGGCUAACUCUGUGCCAGCAGCCGCGGUAAGACAGAGGGUGCAAACGUUGCUCGGAAUCACUGGGCGUAAAGGGCGUGUAGGCGGGAGAGAAAGUCGGGCGUGAAAUCCCUGGGCUCAACCCAGGAACUGCACUCGAAACUUCUUUUCUUGAGUGCCGGAGAGGAAAGCGGAAUACCUGGUGUAGAGGUGAAAUUCGUAGAUAUCAGGUGGAACACCAGUGGCGAAGGCGGCUUUCUGGACGGUAACUGACGCUGAGACGCGAAAGCGUGGGGAGCAAACAGGAUUAGAUACCCUGGUAGUCCACGCUGUAAACGAUGAGUGCUAGGUGUCGUGGGUAUUGACCCCCGCGGUGCCGUAGCUAACGCAUUAAGCACUCCGCCUGGGAAGUACGGGUCGCAGACUA